UUUAUGGAGAGUUUGAUCCUGGCUCAGGAUGAACGCUGGCGGCGUGCCUAAUACAUGCAAGUCGAGCGAACGGACGAGAAGCUUGCUUCUCUGAUGUUAGCGGCGGACGGGUGAGUAACACGUGGAUAACCUACCUAUAAGACUGGGAUAACUUCGGGAAACCGGAGCUAAUACCGGAUAAUAUUUUGAACCGCAUGGUUCAAAAGUGAAAGACGGUCUUGCUGUCACUUAUAGAUGGAUCCGCGCUGCAUUAGCUAGUUGGUAAGGUAACGGCUUACCAAGGCAACGAUGCAUAGCCGACCUGAGAGGGUGAUCGGCCACACUGGAACUGAGACACGGUCCAGACUCCUACGGGAGGCAGCAGUAGGGAAUCUUCCGCAAUGGGCGAAAGCCUGACGGAGCAACGCCGCGUGAGUGAUGAAGGUCUUCGGAUCGUAAAACUCUGUUAUUAGGGAAGAACAUAUGUGUAAGUAACUGUGCACAUCUUGACGGUACCUAAUCAGAAAGCCACGGCUAACUACGUGCCAGCAGCCGCGGUAAUACGUAGGUGGCAAGCGUUAUCCGGAAUUAUUGGGCGUAAAGCGCGCGUAGGCGGUUUUUUAAGUCUGAUGUGAAAGCCCACGGCUCAACCGUGGAGGGUCAUUGGAAACUGGAAAACUUGAGUGCAGAAGAGGAAAGUGGAAUUCCAUGUGUAGCGGUGAAAUGCGCAGAGAUAUGGAGGAACACCAGUGGCGAAGGCGACUUUCUGGUCUGUAACUGACGCUGAUGUGCGAAAGCGUGGGGAUCAAACAGGAUUAGAUACCCUGGUAGUCCACGCCGUAAACGAUGAGUGCUAAGUGUUAGGGGUUUCCGCCCCUUAGUGCUGCAGCUAACGCAUUAAGCACUCCGCCUGGGGAGUACGACCGCAAGGUUGAAACUCAAAGGAAUUGACGGGGACCCGCACAAGCGGUGGAGCAUGUGGUUUAAUUCGAAGCAACGCGAAGAACCUUACCAAAUCUUGACAUCCUUUGACAACUCUAGAGAUAGAGCUUUCCCCUUCGGGGGACAAAGUGACAGGUGGUGCAUGGUUGUCGUCAGCUCGUGUCGUGAGAUGUUGGGUUAAGUCCCGCAACGAGCGCAACCCUUAAGCUUAGUUGCCAUCAUUAAGUUGGGCACUCUAAGUUGACUGCCGGUGACAAACCGGAGGAAGGUGGGGAUGACGUCAAAUCAUCAUGCCCCUUAUGAUUUGGGCUACACACGUGCUACAAUGGACAAUACAAAGGGCAGCGAAACCGUGAGGUCAAGCAAAUCCCAUAAAGUUGUUCUCAGUUCGGAUUGUAGUCUGCAACUCGACUACAUGAAGCUGGAAUCGCUAGUAAUCGUAGAUCAGCAUGCUACGGUGAAUACGUUCCCGGGUCUUGUACACACCGCCCGUCACACCACGAGAGUUUGUAACACCCGAAGCCGGUGGAGCAACCUUUUAGGAGCUAGCCGUCGAAGGUGGGACAAAUGAUUGGGGUGAAGUCGUAACAAGGUAGCCGUAUCGGAAGGUGCGGCUGGAUCACCUCCUUU
This 1551-nucleotide ribosomal RNA is filed under the name Staphylococcus aureus. RNAcentral's name for it is "16S ribosomal RNA". It matches the Rfam family "Bacterial small subunit ribosomal RNA". Lineage: Bacteria; Bacillati; Bacillota; Bacilli; Caryophanales; Staphylococcaceae. The record is from RNAcentral.